This 2953-nucleotide ribosomal RNA is filed under the name Nitrospinota bacterium. Its description in RNAcentral is "23S ribosomal RNA". It matches the Rfam family "Bacterial large subunit ribosomal RNA". Lineage: Bacteria; Pseudomonadati; Nitrospinota. The record is from RNAcentral.
GGUCAAGCUACUAAGGGCGUACGGUGGAUGCCUUGGCGCUAGAAGGCGAUGAAGGACGUGGUUAGCUGCGAUAAGCCUCGGGGAGCCGCUAGCAGGCUUUGAUCCGGGGAUCUCCGAAUGGGGAAACCCUCUGGGAGUAAUUUCCCAGAAUCCUCCGCUGAAUACAUAGGCGGUGGAGGCUAACCCAGGGAACUGAAACAUCUAAGUACCUGGAGGAGAAGAAAUCAACCGAGAUUCCGCUAGUAGCGGCGAGCGAAAGCGGAUCAGCCUAAACCGGAAGCAUAGCGAUAUGCUCCGGGGUUGCGGGAUGUUGUCGGGGCCUAGCCCGGGAAGUCAUAAAAACACGGUAUAGCAGAAGAGUUCUGGAAAGGCUCACCAUAGAAGGUGAUAGUCCUGUAAGCGAAAUGCCGUGUUCUUCCUGGACAGCACUCCCAAGUACGACGGGACACGUGGAACCUUGUCGGAAUCCGGGGGGCCCACCCUCCAAGGCUAAAUACUCUCUAGCGACCGAUAGCGUACCAGUACCGUGAGGGAAAGGUGAAAAGUACCCCUGUUAGGGGAGUGAAAUAGAACCUGAAACCGUAUGCCUACAAGCGGUGGGAGCACGAUGUCGGGAGGUUCGCCUCCUGGCCGUGUGACCGCGUGCCUUUUGCAUAAUGAGCCUAGGAGUUACUCUCAGUGGCAAGGUUAAGCCGAGAGGUGUAGCCGCAGCGAAAGCGAGUCUGAAUAGGGCGUUCGAGUCGCUGGGAGUAGACCCGAAGCCGGGUGAGCUAGCCAUGGCCAGGGUAAAGCUGGUGUAACAACCAGUGGAGGCCCGAACCAGUGUAGGUUGAAAACUGCUUGGAUGAGCCGUGGCUAGGGGUGAAAGGCCAAACAAACCCGGAAAUAGCUGGUUCUCCCCGAAAUGUAUUUAGGUACAGCCUCGUAUGUAUGCUCUCGGUCGUAGAGCACUGGAUGGACUAGGGGCCCCACCAGGUUACCAAACCCAACCAAACUCCGAAGGCCGGGAUGUCUUGUACGGGAGUGAGUCCGCGGGUGAUAAGAUCCGCGGUCGAGAGGGAAACAACCCAGACCGCCAGCUAAGGUCCCGAAGUGUGUGCUAAGUGGGAAAGGUUGUGGGAACGUCAAAACAGCCAGGAGGUUGGCUUAGAGGCAGCCAUCCUUUAAAGAAAGCGUAACAGCUCACUGGUCGAAUGGUCCUGCGCCGAAAAUGUAACGGGGCUCAAGCACACCACCGAAGCUGCGGACUGAUUGGUUCUUCGGAACCGGUCAGUGGUAGGGGAGCGUUCUGCGCUAGGUUGAAGCCGGACGGACGACGACCGGUGGACGACGCAGAAGUGAGUAUCUAGGCACGAGUAGCGAGAAAACAGGUGAGAGACCUGUUCGCCGAAAACCCAAGGGUUCCUGAGGAAGGCUAAUCCGCUCAGGGUCAGUCGGCCCCUAAGGCGAGGCCGAAAGGCGUAGCCGAUGGGAAACGGGCAAACAUUCCCGUACCUGCACGGGACUGCCAAUGGGGUGACGCAGAAGGGUAGAUCAGCCACCUGAUGGAUGGUGGUUUAAGCAUGUAGGCGGAGGGCUUAGGCAAAUCCGGGCCCUCUUAACGCUGAGGUGUGAUGACGAGGAGCUUGCUCCGCAAAGUGAUUGAUCCCAUGCUGCCUGGAAAAACCUCUAGGUGAUAGGUCCGCGCAGACCGUACCGUAAACGGACACACGUGGGUGGGUAGAGAAUACUAAGGCGCUUGAGAGAACACUCGCUAAGGAACUCGGCACAUUAACACCGUAACCUAGGGAGAAGGUGUGCCCCAAGUAGGUGAAGCGGCUUGCCCGUGGAGCUGAAAGGGGUUGCAGUGAAAUGCCCCAGGCGACUGUUUACUAAAAACACAGGACUCUGCGAAGCCGCAAGGCGAUGUAUAGGGUCUGACGCCUGCCCGGUGCCGGAAGGUUAAGGGGAUGGGUUAGCGCUUCGGCGCGAAGCUCUGAACCGAAGCCCCGGUAAACGGCGGCCGUAACUAUAACGGUCCUAAGGUAGCGAAAUUCCUUGUCGGGUAAGUAACGAUCUGGGGACUGUCUCAGCGAGUGACUCAGUGAAACUGUAGCAGCGGUGAAGAUGCCGUUUACCCGCGACUAGACGGAAAGACCCCGUGCACCUUUACUACAACUUGGCAAUGACACCCGGAAUAUCAUGUGUAGGAUAGGUGGGAGACUUUGAAGCAUGGCCGCCAGGCUGUGUGGAGUCGACCUUGAAAUACCACCCUUGUUAUUUUGUGUGUCUAAUCCAGGCCCGUGAAUCCGGGUCGGAGACAUUGUCAGGCGGGUAGUUUGACUGGGGCGGUCGCCUCCUAAACUGUAACGGAGGCGCCCGAAGGUGCCCUCAGGCUGAAUGGAAACCAGCCGUCGAGUGUAAAGGCAAAAGGGCGCUUGACUGCAAGACAGACACGUCGAGCAGGUGCGAAAGCAGGGCUUAGUGAUCCGGUGGUUCUGAGUGGAAGGGCCAUCGCUCAACGGAUAAAAGGUACGCCGGGGAUAACAGGCUGAUCUCCCCCAAGAGUUCACAUCGACGGNNNNNNNNNNNNNNNNNNNNNNNNNNNNNCCCAAGGGUUUGGCUGUUCGCCAAUUAAAGCGGUACGCGAGCUGGGUUUAGAACGUCGUGAGACAGUUCGGUCCCUAUCUGUCGUGGGCGCAGGAGAUUUGAGGGAAGCUGACCCUAGUACGAGAGGACCGGGUCGGACGAACCUCUGGUGUUCGAGUUGUGGCGCCAGCCGCAGCGCUCGGUAGCUAUGUUCGGAAGGGAUAACCGCUGAAAGCAUAUAAGUGGGAAGCCCCUCCCAAGAUGAGAUCUCCCUGGACUUCGGUCCCUGAAGGCUCCUUCAAGACCAGGAGGUUGAUAGGCCGGAAGUGUACGCACAGCAAUGUGUUCAGCUGACCGGUACUAAUAGGCCGUGCGGCUUGACCGA